ACGACAUUAGCUCAGUUGCUGCUUUGCGCAGAGUAAUAGCGAUACCUUGCCAAGGUAUAGGUCAUCGGUUCGAACCCGAUAUGUCGCUCCA
RNAcentral lists this transfer RNA (91 nucleotides) under Shewanella marisflavi. RNAcentral's name for it is "tRNA-Gly". It matches the Rfam family "tRNA". Rfam says of the family: Transfer RNA (tRNA) molecules are approximately 80 nucleotides in length. Their secondary structure includes four short double-helical elements and three loops (D, anti-codon, and T loops). Lineage: Bacteria; Pseudomonadati; Pseudomonadota; Gammaproteobacteria; Alteromonadales; Shewanellaceae. The record is from RNAcentral.